Molecule: ribosomal RNA, 253 nt
Filed under: uncultured bacterium
Lineage: Bacteria
Description: partial 16S ribosomal RNA
Rfam family: Bacterial small subunit ribosomal RNA
Source: RNAcentral
UACGUAGGGCGCAAGCGUUGUCCGGAUUUAUUGGGCGUAAAGAGCUCGUAGGCGGUCUGUCGCGUCGGAUGUGAAAACCCGGAACUCAACUCCGGGCCUGCAUUCGAUACGGGCAGACUUGAGUACUGCAGGGGAGACUGGAAUUCCUGGUGUAGCGGUGGAAUGCGCAGAUAUCAGGAGGAACACUGGUGGCGAAGGCAGGUCUCUGGGCAGAAACUGACGCUGAGGAGCGAAAGCGUGGGGAGCGAACAGG